Brassica oleracea var. oleracea is the source of this 1291-nucleotide long non-coding RNA. RefSeq lists it as uncharacterized. The transcript has 4 exons. The record is from RefSeq and is a predicted model, not a curated record. NCBI's taxonomy places the organism in Eukaryota, Viridiplantae, Streptophyta, Magnoliopsida, Brassicales, Brassicaceae.
CCUGGCAUAUAACUCUUCAAAUUCACUCAGGCUCCCAAUAUAUUUCCAUAUUUAAGGCUCUCACUCAUGUACAUUCACUAAUCUCACAGAGGCAGUCAUACAUGAGUUUAAGCUUCCCAUCAGCUGAAGCCAGGAGAUGACGAAAGCACUAAUGAUUGUGACGAGUGUGAGUAUCAGGUGGUGACAUAGGAUGCGGCUCUGGUGAUGAGUUCAUCAUCUUCCCGCCGAGCGGCAGAGUAGAAGACAAACAAACGAAAAUCUUUAGACUUUCACUGUGUCAAACAAGUAGUUACAACACAACCUCCGUUGGUCUUGCUUACUCGCAUGUGAACACCAGCUUCUCUCCUCGCAAAUGUGUAGGUAAAUAUGAAUCUUGGUCUUAAGCAUAGGAGCAGGGCGUCAUAUCCAUUGAUAUUAUGCUUUGGGUUAGAGAUCUGGCACAGCAAAACAGAUUUGAUGUUUAGCUGCUUAUCGCCUUGAGAAAUAUUUGGAAGCUCAGUUUAUAGACAUGAAGAUUGUGGAAAUCUUGAGGCUUGCAAAGGAGAGAUGACAAAUAGAGGAUCUCUCCCAGAAGAUGAGCAGAAUGAUAAUAAAACAAAGAUCAAUUCGAAGAAGAAUAGAGGAUAAAGCUCACUGAUAACCGGUUCCUUUUCUAUACAGCAUUUGCACUGAGCUUACAAGUGAAGACAUAAAGAAACUGUACUCUGAAUUUUGGUCUCAUGUAAGAAGCAUUCUACAAUUAACUGAUAAAUGCACGCAAAGGUAUAGAACAUAUUCUAAACUAACUUUCAUCUCCAUGGUUCUGAUUUUCUAUUACAGCUAUCCAUAUGAUCAUGAGGAGCUUGCUAUCUGUGAGGAUAUAUAUCAGGAGCCUGCUGACUCUGGUUUCUAUGGAUGGUGCGUAUUGGAGGCGGCGUCUUUCCUCAUAUAAAAGAAGCUGGUUAUCUGACCUGCCUUGUGUAAAUUCUCUGCUACUACAUGUACAAAGCUUUUCUGUGAACAGGGAUUGGGAAAAAAAAUUCAAGCUCACACACAUCAAAUCUCAUUACCUUAGCACAAAGCGGUAGCGCAUUGGUUUCACUUAUAUUCUGGUAAAUGGCACUGCUUUUGUCAUCAGGUUUUUACCAUCACCAUUGGUUGGUACAGAUAUACAAAGCUGAAACCUCAAAAUAACAUGAUUCGUGGUAGAGGAAAGAAGCUGAAACUGAAAACAAGCUCGAGAUGGAGCUCAAAUCGGCAAAAGAAGAAUUUGUAGAUCUAGAAAUCCUACAACUCUAAAACUAUGUUUUCG